CCUACGGGUGGCUGCAGUGGGGAAUAUUGCACAAUGGGCGCAAGCCUGAUGCAGCCAUGCCGCGUGUGUGAAGAGGGCCUUCGGGUUGUAAAGCACUUUCAGCGGGGAGGAAGGCGUUAAGGUUAAUAACCUUGGCGAUUGACGUUACCCGCAGAAGAAGCACCGGCUAACUCCGUGCCAGCAGCCGCGGUAAUACGGAGGGUGCAAGCGUUAAUCGGAAUUACUGGGCGUAAAGCGCACGCAGGCGGUCUGUCAAGUCGGAUGUGAAACCCCCGGGCUCAACCUGGGAACUGCAUUCGAAACUGGCAGGCUAGAGUCUUGUAGAGGGGGGUAGAAUUCCAGGUGUAGCGGUGAAAUGCGUAGAGAUCUGGAGGAAUACCGGUGGCGAAGGCGGCCCCCUGGACAAAGACUGACGCUCAGGUGCGAAAGCGUGGGGAGCAAACAGGAUUAGAUACCCCUGUAGUC
RNAcentral lists this ribosomal RNA (465 nucleotides) under uncultured Klebsiella sp. RNAcentral's name for it is "bacterial SSU rRNA". It matches the Rfam family "Bacterial small subunit ribosomal RNA", at positions 338 to 795 of the family's 1533-position model. Lineage: Bacteria; Pseudomonadati; Pseudomonadota; Gammaproteobacteria; Enterobacterales; Enterobacteriaceae. The record is from RNAcentral.